AGCUGCACAUGUCUAAAGAUUGCAUUAGGUAAAGGUAAAGGUUUCCCCUUGACGUUCAGUCUGGUUGUGACCGACUCUGGAGGUUGGUGCUCAUCUCCAUUUCUAAGCCGUAGAGCCGGCGUUGUCCAGUCAUGUAGCCAGCAUGACUGCAUGGAGUGCCGUUACCUUCCCGCCGGAGCGGUACCUAUUAAUCUACUCACAUUUGCAUGUUUUCAAACUGCUAGGUUGGCAGGAGCUGGGGCUAACAGUGGUCGCUCAUUCCGCUCCCGGGAUUUGAACCUGGGACCUUUCUGUCUGCAAGUUCAGCAGCUCAGCGCUUUAACACACUGCGCCACCACCAGGGGUCCCAAAGAUUGCAUUAUAGCCAGUAAAAUUCGAUUGUUAGUUAGCCUUCUGCACAUGUUUGUAAAAUACUAUAAUUGGAAGUCCACCCCAACAGCAGGUGUGGCAGUACUUUUACUCAGCACGAGCUGAAACUGUCAGCACUAUUUUGUAAAUAGUAAAGUGCUGAAAUCCAAAACUGCUGUCCGUCUCUUCAUCAGCUGCGUCCAAAUGAACUUGACAGGCAGAUUUCCCCAACAAAGGUGCUAAAUUAAGAAAUCGAGGGAGACACUAUCAGACUUGCACUUGGGCUCUCUUUGUUUAUCUUUCAAAUGCUGAGAAAACCUUAAUUGUCUUUCCUUAGCACUAUUUCUCUGUAACUGGAGACACUGAGUUAUUGGCAACAACCCAGCCUCUUCCCCCUCCCUUGUCUCUUAUUUGGGGUCAGGAAGAGCCUCUGGCAGUGUUUCAUGGGAAACAUUCUCAUUCAAAGCAGAUCUGUCUGUGAAGCAAUUCCCAUCACCCUGAGAAGAGCUACUUUCUGCCUGAGGCAUUACAGGAGUGGUGGACUCCAAUUCUGGCUCCAAUUUAGAAGCUCAAGGCCCCACCACCAGAGUCCCCCUCCUCCUCAGAUCAUGCCUCAACAUCAAGGGAAGAAGAAAAGAAAAAGAAAAGAGAGAGGGAAAUCGAGGAAGGAAAGCAAGACCCAUAAAAAGAAUCUGCCUUCUGCUGCUAAAGCAUUGCUAUGGAUACAUUGUGAGGUAAGCCUUCUCAGAGCUGAUGAAGGGAGAAAACAGGCAGGCAGUGGCCCCUCCAACAGACACCUGGGCAAUGUUGGUAUAAGAACAAAAUAGAAAAAGGCCGAAAAAGGAUUGGUUGGUGGAUCUAUUGCCAUGUGAACAUCAAAUCCAGCCUCACUUUUAUGACCACCAUAUGUUUGGUGGGAAUACUCCCUUUGUCAGGAUAUUGGCUCCCAUUUAAUCUACAGUAGCUGCAGGACAAGUCACCAUACAACUGAGAAUGGAUUUGCUAUCCUCAAGCAGUUUAGUUAACUCCUCCCUUUCUUUUCCACUGCAUGUUGAAAUUAGUUUUUGUGCUAACCUUAUGCAGAUUAGAAGCUGGGCACUAGUAGAGCCAGAAUGACAUCGUGGAUUGAAUGUUGGACUAUGACUCUGCAGACCAGGUUUCAAAUCCCUGCCCAGCUGUGGAAAUUGACUAGGUGACUUCAGGUACAACACUGACCUCCGUUUUGCUCAGUCUUCUUAAUUGUGAUGAAGAGCCCUGUUCAUCAAAUAUCUUCUUCACUUCCAGACAUCUUGAGAAAGCACAAUGAAACAGGACAAUUAAAAGAACACAUGGCAACCAACACCCUUCUGAUUAAAAGUGGGGUGGCAUGCUGGAAAAAGCACUCUGAUUUGCGAAAAGGACUAAAUAAGACUGCAGGACAAUAACAUUUUCACACAUUAUUAUUUUUGCUCUUGAUGAGAAGAUUGGAUAUGCUAGUCUCCUCCCUGAAAUAACUGCCUAUCAAACAAUGAUUUUGCUUAAUCUUCCACUUCAAUAUUCUGGGGAAUCAACUUGAGUACUGGAAGUCAACAGUGUCAAUUUAUCGCUUGGCUUUUAGAAUCUAGAGCUCAGAAAAGUUACUUUUAAAACUCCUAUCUCUCAGACUCCCCACACCACCAGGCAACUGCACUUUCAAAAGUAAUGUCAAGAUUGGGAAGACUUUGCCUACAGCCCAGAUUUGUGCCACUAAAUAAACAUCUCCUAUGUA
This is a long non-coding RNA of Anolis carolinensis (green anole), 2095 nucleotides long. RefSeq lists it as uncharacterized. The transcript is spliced from 3 exons. The record is from RefSeq and is a predicted model, not a curated record. Lineage: Eukaryota; Metazoa; Chordata; Lepidosauria; Squamata; Anolidae.